GGAAGAGGAAGAGGAAGAGGGUCAACAUCAAUAAUAAACACACGCGCGCUUUUUUCACACAUUUAAAACAUUGCUCUUAUUUUUUGACAGAGAGAGAGAGAGAGAGAGAGAGAGAGAGAGAGAGAGAGAGAGAGAGAGAGAGAGAGAGAGAGAGAGAGAGAGAGAGAGAGAGAGAGA
Portunus trituberculatus (swimming crab) is the source of this 177-nucleotide long non-coding RNA. RefSeq lists it as uncharacterized. The record is from RefSeq and is a predicted model, not a curated record. The transcript has 2 exons. NCBI's taxonomy places the organism in Eukaryota, Metazoa, Arthropoda, Malacostraca, Decapoda, Portunidae.